This 17753-nucleotide long non-coding RNA is filed under the name Sorghum bicolor (sorghum). RNAcentral's name for it is "long non-coding RNA (SBIC_LNC007676)". Lineage: Eukaryota; Viridiplantae; Streptophyta; Magnoliopsida; Poales; Poaceae. The record is from RNAcentral.
UAAUUAAUUUAAAUUCACAAACUAAGGAAACCAUAAUAAGUAUGUUUAUUACUAUUCUUUUUAGAGUAAAAUAAAAAAAAGGUCUUUGAAGUUAUUCUGUAUGAUGUUGUCUGAUCCCCAAACUCUCAAAAUGCUUGCAUUGUGAGGUUAGAGAAAUUGUCCUUGUAUGGAAUGUAAGUCCCAAGCCCUUAUAAUGCUACUUUCAUCCACAGGACUUGUCACGUGCUGUCAUCCAGUUCUAAAUGAGCCCUAACACACUAUACACCCAUAUGUGGCAUGUCACAAUUGAUCCAUUUGUGGUUCAGUAUUGAUGAGUAGUCUAACGCGAGGUUAUGUAUAUCACACAUAUUGGGCUGCUGCACUAUAUCCGAGUGAAGAGAGUGGGAGAGGGGGAUAUCGAGAUGGUGGUCCAAAGGUCAACAUAUAUGUGUGGUGCCCAUAGAUAGAAUCCAAUAGUAUAGAUAUUAUGAGACAUAUAGGUAGCAUUUGGUUGGGAGAUAAGGUCGGAUGGAAGAAUGAUCUUGUCUCUGGUUUGAGGGAUGCAGUGACCCUAUUUUCUUUUUGGUUGGAAAGCGAUGGGAACAAUUUGUUUUCUAUUUGGUCUUAGAUAUAAUAAGUCAAAUCAUGUGGGGCCCAUUUGGCAGUUUUAAUUCUCUUUUUCUUCCUCCUCUCCUUACCUCGUUCCUGAACUGUAGCCACCCAAAGGACUCGCAAGUGCGACGCCCUCUGCCUCCUCCUGUUGAGUCGGCCAUGGAUUAUGCCACUAGCUUCAUGUGUAGCCACCCAAAGGACUCGCACACGGUGGCUGCUCAAAGGUUGCACGACGGCGGCCUCUGAGCUCACAUGUGGAGGCUCCUUGUAUCUCGGCACAGUGGUGGCCCCCCAAGGUCACGCAAGACGGCAAUCUCCCGAGCUCGCGCGAUGGUGGCCCCCUGUGCUCCUCGUCUUCAUUGACCUCCCCUAUGUGCACCUCCUCUUAUCUUCUUCCUCACCAGCGAGCGGGCUUGUCCCACCUUAGGCGACCCCCUGUUCGUCAAAUUUCUGCACAAGCACGCAUGUGAGCAACUGUCGUGGUCGUGUAGCCACCAUGCUUGCGCAGACAAAUAGAAUUGGGGUACUUAAAUAGUUUAAGGAUCUAAAUGUACAGUUUUAUAUUUAGUGAUCUGAUAGAAGAUGCAGUAGUUUAGAGACUAUGGGUGUAACUUGAUCUAUGACAAUGGUUGGAAUCGCUUCCAAUCGCCUCCCAUCGCCUCCGCUAAAAACUUUUUUGUUGAUUUAAUUUGUGGAAGGGUAAUAACAUCAUUGUACAAGGUUCUCUCAAACCCCAACCCCUAUUAUCGGCAGCUACGGCUCCCUGUAACACGCAUUGAUGGACGCAGACGGGUGGAACUCAAAGAAGAUUAAAAAAAACUUAAGAAGAAGAUUUUUAUCUAACUAGCUAUAGUACUUGAAUCAUAUAUCCUAUCUAUGUUACUCAAAAUAUUACUUCAAACUAAGAAAGACAAUACAGCUUAGAAUAUUAAUUAUUUUAUAACAAAUUUUGAAACUAAACCAACCGCAUUUCUUGGGAGUAGACUAUACAGCUUUCAACCGUUUAUUUGUAUUGGAAUGCACGAGGAUAUUACAUGCUGAGUUAUUAGUGUAGUGUACUGGCACAGUAGCGUAUAUAUGGAUGUGUGUCACUUGUAAAGGAAACAAUUAUUUCUAAUAUUUUUGCGUGGCCAUACGUACGUUAGUGCGCACCUUGUAAUGAGCAUUCUUCCUUAAUGUUGAGUUUUGUUUGCACGAGCACUGUAGCUUUAUUACACAGAAUUUCUAUCGACUAGUGCAUCAACCCAUGUUCUGGCAUGGGCUUGAAUUUUAUGAGAUAUAAGUAUUAAGUAUUGUUCUGCUCAUUUCAAAUUAUAAACCAUUUUGGCUAUUAAAGAUAUAUUAUUUUUUAUUCUACCUGAUCAGUAUAUCUAAGUGUAUAAAAGGAACUAUAUACUUUCGAAACAUGUUAUAACUUGAAAUGCGCGGAGUAGAUCUGAAUAAUAAUGAAAUACUCAUAAAUUAUAUGUUUUUCUCUUUGUCUAAUCUUUAACAUAAUAGACAUGAUAGAUACUCUAUAGUCUAUAUCUAGUUAUCAUAAACUUAUUAGUUACUAUUUUUUCAACAAACUAAUCUAUGUAUUUUUAUCUAUAUUACAUUAAAUAUGCAAUUACUUUGAAACCUUACCAUUAAUCACGGUGGCUCUUGUUUUGUUAUGUAUCAAAUUUUUUAUUUUCAAAUUUUAUUCUUAUUGACUGCGACAGAUUUAUUUUUUCUCUCCUUAAGUUAAGUUGAACCCCUUAUAUAUGCUUAUUGUAUCUUUCAUUAACUAUUCUUUUUGUAUUUUUGAAAUAAGAAUUUUAGGACAUAGUUUACAUUCUUAGGAACACAAUAGCAUAAGACAUCAUUUGAAACAUGCACCAUAUUGCUUAAGAUAAGCCACAGAGCUUGAAGUGAGAUCACAAACAGGAUAUAGUGCUAACCUCAAGAGAAUUUUAAUACCUAAAUCUUAUAAUGAUUGACUGAUUGACUUUUUACUCUAAACUAUUCUUAAAAGGUUAGGAAAAUAUAGCCACUAGUGGUCUACCACACUUCUCGAGAUGAUUGAGUUUUCCUAUCAAGGAAUUAUGUUUACAAAUAUGGUUAUAGUAGACAUGUCAAACAUUUUAGUUAAAGUACGUAAAUAUAUCUAAAGUAACAAUCUAUAUCAAUUAUAUGUUAUGGUUACUAAUAUGGCUUGAAAUUUUUUUAUAUUGAUAAGGAAAUAACUUUUUUUGUGAUUAAACAUAACAUAUUUAUUCUAUUGCUCAUGCAUGAUGGCAUUACGUGUAUAUUUACUUUAAUCAAAUCUUACUAUACGUAUUUUAUGAGAAUUUCUAGGAUCUAUCUUUUGUUUUCCUGUCAAGUCUUGUGACGAUUAACAUGCAAGCUAUAGAAGAAACGUCUUGUUAGAAUUUAUAGUAUUUAUCUUUUUUUUUUCUAGUGUGAUUUGUAUUUAGUUGAAAACUAAACUUAAGAUAUAUGAACUCUUGAUACAACUCUUUUUUGACAUUGCAAAUCUACAUUUAUCUUUUAACUUUUAAUUAAAUUGUUGCAAUUUCUUCAAAUGUUAAUUAGAAAUUCUGGUAUUCUUUAUAUUUUAUUCAAAAAACAUUUUUUAUUAUAACGAGUAUAGGUUUCCACAUAUGCUAAAAUUUGGCUUGCAUUGUGACACUAAACAUGUUCAAUUUAUUAUGUCAUACGAUUAUAUGUGUUGUAUUAUUUAUAUAUCAUAGAGUGAAUAUUGAUAUGACAUAAUGUUUCAGUAAAAACAUAUAUACUUGUUUAAAAUGAUAAUUAUUGAAUUUAUUAUCACGAAGUAUAGAUAUAAAGUGUUAUUGCAACAUCGUUUGCUAUGUGAACAUUUUCCAUGUUUCAUAACUUUUAAAAUAAAUGUUAUCCAAAUUUAUACAUGUUUAUUUGAUAUACAUGGUGCAACAUUGCAUUUAGUUAUUUUAUUUCACGAUUAUUGAAUUAUGAAACUUAGAAAUAUAUACAUGUACCAUACUUUUUGUUAAUAUUGAUAUUUUUAAUAUUAUAUAUUACUAUUUACACGUCAAUUUUAGAUAUGUUUUGUUUAUCUUCAAUUAUGGCUAAGGUACAUACAAAUAUAAAGUUAAUGCCUUGCAUUAUAUUUCACAAAGACAUAAAUGGAUAGGUUCAACACGAACAUAUAAUAUUAAUUUGCAUUAUUUUUCAUAAUGAUAAAGGUGGAGAAUUUAUAAUUAGGAGGCAUUUUAAAUUAUGUUCCAUAAGCGUAUAUUGGGUAGUUUAGGUACAAAGUUAGAAUAUUAUUUUGUAUUAUCUUUCACAAUGACAAAAGCAAGGUAAUUUAGACACAAUUUUAGGGGUUUAUUUAAAUUAUGUUUCAUAAUCGCCAAGGUGGGUAAUUUGGAUGAAAAAUCAGGGAGUGAUUUUGAAUUAUUUUUUAUGAUGACAUACAUGGGUAAUUUAUAUACAAAUAUAGAGGGUUAUUUUGAAUUAUCUUUUGUAAUGUCACAAUUGGGUAAAUUAAAUGCAAAAUUAGGGGUUACUUUAUUGUAUUUUCAUAAUGGCAGUAGUGGGUAAUGUUUUAUAAACUAUAAUAGAUGCAAUGGCUAUUAUCACUGACGAUAUUAGAGUUUAUCAAAUGAAAGGCUAGUUGUUUUUGAUUAUUGUCAUAAUUUGGAGGAUUUUGUUGUGUCUCUGUUGGGGUCUCUAAUUAGAAUUUAUAGGAUUUAUCUUUUUUUCUAGUGUCUGGUGAGAAUUAACGUGGUAUCUCUGUUGGGGCUUGUAAUAAUAAGAUUGGUCACAGCAGGCAGUGAAUCAUUCAGGCGGGUUCAGAGUUUAUUAGCUGAGAAUAUGUCGUGCAGAAUAAUAGUGCUGAUUUUGCUUCAGAUUAGGAAUCUCCGUACUUCUAUAGGUCAUAGGAGCAACGAAGGGGAAAUUCGUCAUGAACAUAGCUAUACUUUCUUACUUUUGUAUCCCAAGAAACACUCGUGCUUUUUUCUUUCCUUUUACUUAGGCCUUAUUUAGUUCACUUCAAAAACCAUAAAAUUUUCAAGAUUUCCCAUCACAUCGAAUAUUGCGGGACGUGCAUAGAGCAUUAAAUAUAAAUGGAAACAAAAACUAAUUGUACAGUUUGCCUUUAAAUUGCGAGACGAAUCUUUUAAUCUUAGUUACUCCAUGAUUGGACAAUGUUUGUCAAAUAAAAACGAAAUUGCUACAGUAUCAAAAUCUAAAAACUUUUUGAAUCUAAACAAUGCCUUAGUUGCAUAUGCAUAAAGUAUAAUAUAAAAAAGGAUGAUAAAAAAUUGUGUGCUAGAGGUCGCAUACGUUUCUUCUUGAUGUGCUUUGCAUUUGUAGCAUAUCACAACACUGCACGGUAAAUUAUUUUUUGUCUAAUUGGCCUGAAAUUCUUGCAGGCUGUCAGAGAUGUGAAUGAUGAGCCGCAGGUUGAAAAUUUAAAGGAUAUUGGCUUGAUACUUGUAAAAAAAUGUGAUGGUUUACCUCUUGGGAUCAAAGUAAUGGGAGGUCUCCUGAGUCGGAAAAGGAUAACACGAACCGACUGGCAAAAGGUCUUAGAUGAUUCUCUAUGGUCAGUAUCACAAAUGCCUCAAGAGCUAAAUUAUGCAGUAUAUCUUAGCUAUGAAGAUCUAGACCCUUGUUUGAAGCCUUGCUUUUUGCACUACUCCCUCCUUCCAAGGGGCAGAUUGUUUUAUGAUUAUGACAUUGUUGCCAUGUGGAUUAGUGAAGGAUUUGUUCAUGGAAUUUCACGUGACUUAGAAGACAUAGGAAGGGAAUACUAUGACGAGUUAAUACAGCGGAACCUUAUUGAGCCAGAUAUGAAGUUUAUUGAUCAAAGUGUUUGCAACAUGCAUGAUGUUGUCCGGUCCUUUGCUCAGAACAUGUUCCGAGACGAAGCACUCAUAACUCACAAUAGUAGAAUUGGGAUUGACAAGCUUAAAGCACAAAAGUUUAUUCGGUUAUCUCUCGAAAGCAAACAAUCGGAACAACCUGAUUUGGAGUGGUGUUCUCUACAAACACAAAUGUCACUGAGAACAAUGAUUUUAUUUGGUAAUAUAAAGAUUCAACCAGGUGAUUCAUUUCAUUCUUUUUCAAGUCUCCGAACACUACACUUGGACAGUGUAAAUAUUGUUGCAACACCCAAAUCUUUGUAUCAGCUGAAACAUCUGAGGUAUCUGUCAAUAGGAAAUAGUAAUAUAUCUAAGUUAUCAGAAGACAUUGGCAAGUUGAAAUUCUUGCAGUACAUUAGCCUUUCCGAUUGUCAGAGUUUGACCAAGCUUCCCAGUAGCAUCGGGGUGCUACAAGACUUGAGAUUUCUCAGUCUUCUCAGAACAAAUAUAAGUGUUGUACCAAGGGAGUUUUGUGGUCUAACUUCUUUGAGGAAAUUAUACGGAUUUCCAGCCCACAUGGACUGUGAUCACUGUAGUUUGGAGGAACUAGGGUCUCUCUCCCAGCUAACUGAACUUGAUAUCAGUUUCUUGGAGAAUGUAGCUUCUUCCUCAUCUGCUAUAGAGGCCAAACUUGGUGGAAAGAAGCGCCUAAGGUAUCUCUCACUUCAUUGCACCAGUAGACUUGGAGAUGAUGGCCUAUUGGUAAAAAAGGAAGAAGGGAUCUCUGAGAAAGCGAAGAGACAAAUCGAGGAGGUCUUUGAUGAGCUCUGCCCUCCGCAUGGCUUAGAACACCUUUCAGUCAACGGGUAUUUUGGUGAGCGGCUCCCAGGUUGGAUGAUGCCAGCAGCAGCAUAUAUGCCGCUUAGGAGCUUGAGGACUCUAAUGAUGGAUGACUUGGCCUGCUGCACGGAGCUUCCUAGUGGCAUGAGUCAGCUACCCUGCUUGGAGCUUCUGCAGAUUGUUCGUGCCCCGGCCAUCAAGUGUGUUCGCCUUGAAUGCCUACAACCAAACAAUCAAGUAGGUGUUGCGUUUCCCAGUCUACAGAAGCUGCGUUUUGUGGGAAUGUUCGAAUGGGAGGAAUGGGUGUGGGAGGAACAAGUGAAAGGCAUGCCUAUCUUGGAGUUGCUUAAACUGAAAAUGUGCAAGUUGAGGCGUGUGCCACCAGGCCUGGCCUUCCACGCAAGGGCUUUGAAGAAUUUAUAUAUAUAUGAUGUGAAGCAUCUAAGCUCUUUGGAGAACUUUGCUUCUGUGGUCCACCUCGAUGUGUUUAGAAACACUCACCUGGAGAGGAUCAGUAAUCUACCAAAACUGCAGAAGCUUGUCAUUCUCAUGUGCCCAAAGCUGAAGGUAGUGGAUGGCAUGCCUGCACUCCAGAGACUCGAACUGGGGGAUUAUGACAUGGAAACAGUCCCUAGGUAUCUGCAGGAUGUAAACCCAAGACAUUUGCUGCUGGAUUGUUCCUUAUCGCUGCUCACGUGUAUAGCAGCAGGAAAAUCUGGUCCUGAAUGGGAUAAGUUUCGCCAUAUCCAGCAAGUCAAAGCCUAUGCAAAUGAAGAAGGCUGUCCAAGGAAGUGGUAUGUGCUCUACACAAGGAACCCUUACCGCUUCGAGACAAAUAUCAGCCGCUCUGCUAUUGCCCAAGGUAAAUUAACACAGCCGCCUUCCAAUGUAAUUUAUUUUUUGGCACUCUGUUUUCCUCGGUUUCCUUCAAUCAGUUCAAUUCAUCUUCUGCAGCUCACGGACGCCGCAUAUGGCUUGCUUACUCGGAAACAUGUCCCAUUGAAGAUGAGUGGCCCACAGGAGGACACACGUAUGUAGAAAAACGUAUGCCCCUCUGCGUACGCUUCAGGUAAAAAAGUUGGCUACACGUUGAUUGCUUCCCUCUGUUUCAGUAAUUGUGCAUGCUUACACCUCCUUGACACGUGAUUAAUUGAACAUGGCAAGUUCUUUACCAUUUCAUUUCGUCCGUGCAACGUAUUUUUGCAACAUGUGCAGGUGCAACGCCUAUCGCCACUUGAAUGGCUGGUUUGAUGAAGCGUGCCUGCACUGCCAUGAAGCCGACAACAUCGCUUCCCCAUCUGAUCAGUGGACCCAAGGAGAAGUGCUUUCAGCCCGUAUAAAGACUGUUUGGGCAUGAGUGGAGGAAACGUCUUUAGUUUAGUGUGAGUAUGUGCAUCUUGGCUAUUCCUUGAUCUGCUUCUGUACCUUGUGUAUAAGAUCCUCAGCUUGUGUAUGUUCAUUUUACUGCUUUUUAGGGGCUUGUGUUCGAUCUUAUACUGUAACAUCUAGAAUACGUUUAUUGCGUUAGAAGUGUAAAGUGGUAUAAUAAUAAUAAUUGUAAUUUUAUCCAUCACUCAAAUGAAUGAUCAGAGAUUUUAGAUGCGUAGAGCUCGUCGAAUGCUUUCAGUUGCACUACUCAUAUGUAUUGUUUGGAAUUUGGAUCAUGGAGAUAUAAAUUUCAGAAGUUUUAAGAAAGAAAAAAUAAACAGGACCUUUUACUGUAGUGUGACGCGUGGUGGCCUUUUAUAUCCGCUCCAAGGCCUUUAGGUUCCAUCCAUAGCUUUUCAUAUUCAGGAUAAAAAAAAGAGGAGAGGGGAGAAAAGAGAAAGGAGAAGGGAGAAGGGGAGGAUAGGGCCUAGGGUUUUGCCGCCGUCGUAGCCGCCGCCGCCGCUGUCGGUCAUCCGUGGUGGUCGUUCUUCCUUCCGUGGAAAAUACGGUUUGGUUCUACCUUGUAUCUUGGCUGUUCCAUUGAUCUACCAUGUCCCUUUUACUGUCCAUGAGGGCUUAGCCAUGUUUGGCGUAGAUCGGAAUAACAAGGCUUUUAUGGCGGCAAGGAUCGUGGCGAGUUGGAUCGGAGAUAAUGGAAAGGUGAAGAGGCGGAGAAGAAGGAGUAGACGCCAGGAGUUUCGGCGUCGUGCUCGCUGUGGUUCUCUAGGUGAGAAGCCAAAUAUUAAUCCCCUUCAUCUGAUCAAGUUUUGCGGAUUAAAUCGCUUAUUUGGGAUUGGGUUUAGUGGAGAAAUUCUUGAAGUCAUUUUCGUUCAUGUCCUGAAAUUCUCGUCAGACUGAGCAGUCACUGUUCAUCGUAAUGUUAGGGCAUUUUAGAGGCUUUAAUAAUUUUUGAGCCUGUGGACAAAGUUGUAGAGGACUUCAAUAUCUUUCUUUAGACGCCAAGAACUCUGUCAGAGCAGUUAUAAUUUGUGAGAUAUCGAGUUUUCAAUCUGACUGUUUUCCAGUGACGAAAAUCUGGACAGUUUUGGAUCUAAACAGUUUUUGACCCUGUUAAUGAAAUAAUUAGGUCUUUGAUUAUUAACAAAUGUUUUAGGAUUUUUGUUAAGCUUUCUAUAUUGGUAAAGUUUGUAACUUUUGAAUAAGUAUAUCACCAGUUAUGAAUUUUUGAAGUUUGAUGUUCUGUUUUGAAGGUCAGAAAUAUUCAGUUGUGUUCUAUGGUUAAUUAUACCAUCUUGCAGAUCUCUGAUGCAAAACCUUACAAUACAAAAGUUGUAUAUAACAGAGUUUUACAUGAUCUGAUAAAUUAUGGUAAUUUUUGGAUGAGUAUUCUGAAGUAUAUGAAAAAGAGAAGAGUCGGUGCUGCUGUCUUGAUCGGUAGCGCAAACGGUAGAGGCUUGAAUGUCGGGUUUGGGGCGCAUUAGUGCGUAUUUGUUCUUACUCUUGCUUGUAUGUUGGUGUAUGUACUGAGUAGUAUUUGUGAUCAGGUGGUAGCACUUCGGAACAUCGCUAGUGUUUUUGUUCUCCUUCGGUAAAGAGGCAAGUGAAUGUAGCGGUGGUUUGCUACCGUUUUGGCUUGUUAUUUUUAUCACCUACAGUUUAUUGUCUAUAAGAAUGUCAUCCCUCUCAUAUCUAAAAUUUAUGAUUUUGGUAUAUUUAGUCUUAGUUAAAUUGUGGUCUUAUUUAAGUAUUUAUGGUGAUGGUAUUAUUUUAUAUUGUUAUUUGUGGCUAGCCCACAAACCUGAAUUUGAAGUCGGAGUAUCAUUGGUGAUUUAUUAAUUUUAUUGCAACAUACCAAGUGCAUUGCAUCAUUCAUUGGCAUUGGAAGUUAUGUCUUGACCUAUGGUCAUGACUGUACCGGUAUGCAUCAUGGGAUGCAGCUCCACACCUUAUUGGGUGUGCAGGCAGGAGACAUAUGCAUUGCAUUCAUAUGCAUUCAUGAGAAGUAUGUUAUUGAAGAGAUUUUAUCCACGUUAUUAUGAAGCUCUGUAUUAUUGGCUAUGUUCCAAAUUGGAAGACUGUUACUUUUAGUAUGAUAUUAUGUCAAUUGAGAACAUCAUAUUAAAUUGAUGUUAAUUCAAAUUGUGGUUUCAAUAGCUUGUCAAAACAAGUUCGCUUGCUGAGAUGUUUCGUCUCACCCUUGCUUUACUCAAUCCAGGUACUUGAUGCUUACUUGGAAGGGAAGAGACUUAGCUGCACGUCACACACGUAUUCAUUUAGAGACCUUGUGUUUUAAUAAAUAAUAAUUUGGUUUGCUUAUUGGUUUUGAAGGCGGUUGUUAAAGUGUGGGUGUUAAACUUAAUUCUUGUUGAAGUAACUUAUUUGCGUUAGGAUGUUCAUUAAUCCUAGUUUGGUAUUUUAGUAAUUUUUUUUUAUAUUUUAUUCUUCCGCUUGCUAUAAAUACAAAGAAGAUACUGUCAAAUUGUUUAUGGUUGUGUGCAGCUGUUGUUUGUGUAGUCUAGUAGCAUCCCGGUGUAUUUGUGGUUUUCGGGGUGUUACAUAUACAGUAUGGACACAUGCCACAUUGCAGAAAUAAAUGUUCUAUCUGCUACUGAACAUGUACACAGAUUGCAAAAUUAUAUGUUCUGUAAUUUCACUAUUUUAUCAGGCUUACGAUAGUGAAUGGUAAACUGGUUGUGAUGUCAUCAAUGGACUCAUGGCACACUGCAAAUACAUAUGUGUUACAUUUCUUAUGAACUUUUAUGUUUUUUUAUUCUGGAUUGGAGCAUGCUCGCACUCCAAAUCCUCCAAUAGCCCUUUGCUCAGUGGAGACAAAUCUAUAACCAGGUGUGCCCGGAGGAUAUCCCAGCUGCCCGUAACCAAAUUCCUCCAAUUACUAGUUUCCUGGGCUCCCUGGAAAUACCAGAAUAUUGUGGUGUCCAACCACCUCCUGCUGUCAAUGAGAAAGCUGGCACCUUCGAUAUCACUCUUGCGAUCUUGGCGAGCAGGUCACUGACAUCUUGGUGGGCACCAUUAGUUUUUGUUUUUAUUUAAAUUUAAUGCUAUAUACAUGUACCGUAAGAUUCGAUAUGACGAAAAAUCUUAAAAAAAUACAAAUUUUUUUUGGGAAGCCCUAGGCACCCCAAACCAGGUGAGGUCACACGGGCCUAUGCGAGAUCCGGCGUGCCAGCAAACUGGCUCCUAACAGAGUGUUCGAUGACAGAAUAAUUCCCAUCCCCGCCAAUACCAGUCCUAUCCAUGAAAAGGCGAAGAAGGCCCACGUCGGCAUGCUCUGUCGCUAGUCCCCACUAGCGCCUUCUGCGGGUCCCGUCACCAGUCCUCGCUGAUCGGUCUCUCAUCUUCUCCACCGGGACCCCUCGCCGCCGUCUCCUCUGCCUCUCAUCUUCUGCAACAACGGGUAGGCAAAGAGGUGGCAUGUGUGGCUCGCCGGCCGUUGAGCCGAGGCAGAGCGCGCGUCUCGGCAUCAAAGACAAAGGAUGCACGGGAGUCAAUUGGAAGUCGAUGCAGGAGGAGCGUAGGAGAGAGAAGGCACUGUGCUAUAUGUUUUUUUUUUGUUAUUUAUGGUGCAUUGUUGGUGAGCGUGAUGAGUCCUAUCCUACAAUGAGACUUAUGAGCAGUUUGGGAGUGUACCCAAACUAAUUUUGGGUUGGGUUGAAGUGAACCCAUCACGCCUUUGGGUAGAAGGACAGGGUUAUCCCAUAUUUUUUAUUUGGUUGGAGAUAAACUGUGUCGGGGUUUGGAUUCAUGACACGUGGGUCCUGCAUGUCAGCCUUCUAUCAAUUCUUCUCCCAUGGGUCAUCCUUUGAUCGUCCCUGACACCGCCGCUCUCUGCUCCCACACUAUCGUGGCCCUCUACAACCAAUGCAUCUCGCUCGCGCAGCUCUCUUGGCUUGCCUGCGCAUGGGCACAAUUGCCACGUCUGGCCAUAGAAGAGACCGUGUUCCGACUAUCGGAUCCCUACGUCCAGCAAUGGUUGUUGUUUAUAUUCAAUUCGAGAGCACCCAAAUCAGGGGUUACAAUGAAAGAGAGUGAAUCGACACGAGAUCACUCGGUGCUAUCAAGCCUCGUUGGUGGCGAGGAAGAAGAAAUGUUCCCCUCUCUCACUGGAUUGCUAACCAUGCCUACAAAAAGGAUGGAUACAAAACUCCCCGAUUUCUAGGAAGCCCCUACAAUCGAUUUUCAAGCCGCCUCUACAAAUCAAUUUUCAGAAAUCAUGCGAUUUUAGGCUAAAAAAUAGGAACAAAAAGUGGCACCAUUGGUCCACCAACCCUUCCCCUCACACAUAUCUUCCUCUACCACUGCACCCUACACUCAAUGUGUCUAUAACCUAUUUUUGGCUUGCAGCAUAAGCCACAAUAUUUUUUGUACACUUUGUGGCCGACGGGAUUUGAACCCAUGACCUUCCCCUCACAUGUAUCCUCUUCUACCACUACACCUCACACUUAAUCUGUCUAUAAUCCAUUUUUGCACACUUCGUGGCCGAUGAAAUUCGAACCCAUGACAACCCUCCCCCCGCCUAGCACGUAUCCUCCUGUAUCACCUCACACUCAAUGUUUUUAUAAUCCAUUUUUGCUUCCCAAAAUAUUAUACCGAGCAUAAAUUGAUUGUCUGAGGCCCUAAACGAUUUCAUAUGAACAAGUUAUCAACUAUAAAGUUUCAUAACUUUUUUAUAUCUAUAACUUUCAUGUUGGUAAUUUUUCCAUCUGAGAUCGUUUCAAAAAUUUGAAUUUAAAAUUUACAAGAUUCAAACGUAAUUUUUCAUGAUAAGAUGAUAGCAAAUGAAAAAGCUAUCAACUAGAAAGUUUCAUAACUUUUCGAAAUCUACAACUUUCAAUUUUGCUAUUUGUCCAUCCGCGAUCGUUUAAAAAAUCAUAAUUUGAAAUUUUGAAAAUUUAAGCAUAGUUUUCUUGACAACAUGAUUUCGAUAACAAGUUAGUCAUCACCGAGUUCAUAUGAAGCCAACGGUCUGGCUUCCACGAUGGAUUUGUGGACCGAAGCAGACCGGCGUUAGACAUGUAGAUAUUAUGAGACUCGAAAUAGACGUCUUGCUAUUGAUGGAAAUAUCGCCUACCGCUGAAAGCACAACAACAUUAAAUCCCUAAAGUAUUUACUCCCAGGAGUUGAAAGAACUACUAAGGCCUUUGUAAACCACUAGGCUACAGACCUUUGUUUCUGUAAACAUGCAUGCUUACACCUCCUUGACACUAGAUCAAUCGGACAUGGCAAAAACGAGAUAAACUUUUUAUACAGUUUAUUUGUAAAUCGCGAGAUAAACUUUUUAAGUCUAGUUAGUCCAUGAUUGGACAAUAUUUACCAAAUAAAAACGAAAGUGCUACAAAACCAAAAAAAUUUAGGCACUAAACAAGGCCUGACUGUUAGAACACCCAUGGUCACUUGGUUCUGUAGUUUGACGAAGGCUGCCUGCACUGCCGUGAAGGCGACGGCAUCGAUUCCCCAUCAGAUCAGUGGGCAGAAGCAGCAGUGUAUUCUGGGUGUACACAGAUUAUUAUGCAUGCAUUUUGGGAAUUAUCGUUGUUCUGCAUCUGUACCUUGUGCUCGUAGGAGCACAAAACAGAGCUUGUUCUGUUUUCAGACAUUGUUCACUCUGCUUUCUUGAUGCUCCUCAAGUUGCUGUACCCAAGCCAAACUAGCAUACGAAUUAGCGGUCUCAUCCCAGCCAUCAAUCAAAUGCCCAUCGCCCACUUAGCAAGUCUUCCUGUUUGCUACCAACGGGGGCUUCACAUCUACCGUCGGUAUUAUUAUUUCCUCAUUCAAUCUCCUCCGUUAAACAAGUCAAAAUUCCCUUAUAUAUAGCAGCAAAGAAAUGGACGAAUAUUGGUAUCUUUUAUGACGAGAGCUGAUUGUGACAUCCAUCCAUUAUUAUUAUAUUAGCCUGCCGUGGAGCAUGCAUGGACGGACGACGCCACAGUAGACUGAACUGCAACGUCUGUUGAACACAACGUCUGUCUGUUGCAUGAUGAUGCUGAUGAUGGCUCACCCUGUUGAACCGUGGAAGCAAGUUCGGACUGAACUGCAGCAGCAAUUUACAAGCCCGUUUUGAUCGCGUGUGUUGGAAUGGAACCGCUCGUGCCCAGGCUCUGGAUGGAUGGUUUUCGGCUUCCCUGUGUCUCGCUCGCACUGCUACCAUCAUCUCGUGACUCAAACAUCAUGUAUGCCUGGCCUUGUUUAGUUCCUAAAAAAUUUUGCAAAAUUUUUCAGAUUCUCCGUCACAUCAAAUCUUUAGACGCAUACAUGAAGUAUUAAAUAUAGAUGAAAAUAAAACUAAUUGCACAGUUUGGUCGAAAUUGAUGAGAUGAAUCUUUUAAGUCUAGGUAGUACAUAAUUAGAUAAUAUUUGUCAAAUACAAACGAAAGUGUUACUAUUCCAAUUUUGUAAAAAAAUUUGGAACUAAACAAGGCCAACUUUCAUCUACGUUCCAGUGCUAGAUGGCUCCCCACACUAACUUGGCAUAAGUUGGCCAUACAUCAUUACAUUAUUUAAUUUACAGAGGAUAGACAUUGACCAAGGCUAGAGCCUCGCAUAGUCAGGGGUCACCUUCAUCCAACAAACACGCUGAGUCAGAUUUGUCGCGAUCAUUUUGGAAUAUAUAAUCCCAAAGCAUCUGAUUCCACUACUAAAGCUGAUGAUUCUUAUAAUAUAUUUUUUAUGAAAAAAUAAAAAAACGCAGGAAGUGGCCUACAUUGAAUGCACAAAAUAUUGUUUCCACACAGUACAAAGAUAGAUUGCACAAUCGUCUUUGUGCCUGCUUGGAUUCCACCACUAAUCGAACGAAGCUGCCUGGCACUUUCCUUCUCACCUUGCACUGUCACCACACGACCCACUCCAACCACCACCUUCUUCCCUGAAUCAUCACCAUUUUCCUUCCCAGCUUCAAGCAGCCAAACGGAAGACACCAACCAGCUACUGCGAUUCUUGCGGACAACUUGACUCCAUGCAUGUUGCUGCUCAACCUUUCAUCACUAACGGGCAUGCCACAAUCCAGCAGUAGCAUCUGGUUGGUCAGGUCGGCGAUGUCCAUGCUGAUUCCUGCCUAGCCAUUGACCAAUAAUACAUCCUGUUGUUGCAACGCCUCUCCGCUUCCGGCCAUUGCUCAGCUCAUCGGACUCAGGUUUGUUUCCUUAACCGUUACGUUUCUGCAGUGGCUUAUGCUUAGCAAGAUCUGCCCAUAUAGCUACUGCCCCCAGUGACCCACCGGCACGGCACAGUCCAGCAGUAGUAUAAGGUGGGUCAGGUCGAAGAUGUCCAUACUGAUACCUGUCUAACCAUUAACUAAGAUCGAGAUCCUACUCCACGACCAAGCUAGAACGAACAACAGUGGCACUGCCUCACCAAUUCUGGCCAUUGCACAGCUCGUCAACUUGAGGUUUGUUUCCUUAACCGUUACGUUUCUGCAGCUAGUUGUGCACAGAUAGUGCCCACUGUGUUGUAAUUGUUAUAUGUCUCUGCAGCUGCUUAUGAGUAUCUAGAUCUGUGUAUAUAGUUGCCACUGUCAUGUACUUGUAUCAAUAAUGAACGAGAAGUCAGUACUAGUGCCGCGAUGGCUGCAUGUACAGAUGGCAGAUGAUUGAAUCUUUGUUGUAUAAAAUUGAAAUGCAGUGUUGAAAUUAACAUCUGUUCUAAUUUCGUUACAGCAAAAACGGAAGUUCCCAAUCAUGGCCGGUGUCCUAGAUGCUUUGGCAUCCUACAUCCAAAACAUGCUUCUGCAGAUGGCGGCAGAAGAGGUGCAUAUGUUGCUUGGGGUGUCCGGUGAGAUUGACAACAUGGACAUCAAGCUUCGGGAUCUAAAGAACAUCCUUGCUGAUGCUGAUAGGAGGAACAUCACUGACAAAAGCGUCCUAGCAUGGGGGAUAGAGCUAAGGAAUGCUAUGUAUGAUGCCACUGAUAUCCUCGACCUUUGCAAGCUCAAGGCUAUGGAGCAAGGCCAAAGGCAUGAUGCCGGAUGCUUCAACCCGUUGCUCUUCUGCAUACGGAAUCCCCUACAUGCCCACGAUAUUGGAAGCCGCAUCAAGAACCUUAACAAGAGGCUAGACGACAUCAAGGCACGUGGUGCAUCAUUCAACUUCCUGAACCUUAGUACUUAUGAGGAUCGUGGAAGAAAUGUGAUAUCAUAUGGUUCUAGUACCCGUGAGACAUCGGGGGGCCUUGUUGAGUCUGGUUUGGUUGGUGAGAAGAUUGAAGAGGACACAAUAAAUCUUGUGGAGAUGCUAACAAAGAAGUAUCCUACCGACGACAACAAAUCCAACAAAAUAAUGGUUUUCUCUAUUGUGGGAGCUGGUGGGAUUGGUAAAACCACCCUUGCUCAAAAGAUCUUCAACAAUGAAGUCAUAAAGGAUGAGUUCAAAAAGAAAAUAUGGUUGAGUGUCAACCAAGGCUUUGAUGAUAUUGAAAUGUUAAGGAGGGUUAUUAUCGAAGCUGGUGGAAACCACCAUGAUUGUGGAAAUGCAAAGGUGUCACUAGAACACACUCUAAUAGAAGCUUUGAAGGGACAAAAAACCUUAUUAAUAAUAGAUGAUGUCUGGGACAGCCGUAUAUGGGAAGGCGUGCUUAGAACUCCCUUUGUCAAUGCCAUGCUAGCUGAAGGUAGCCGUGUGCUGGUCACCACAAGGCAUGACACAGUGGCACGUCAGAUGAAGGCGGAGGAGCCCUACCAUCGUAUUGACAGACUUGGGCUUGAAGAUGCAUGGAUGCUGCUCAAGAAGCAGGUUCAAGUUAAUCCAUACAUUUAUUACUUUUCAUUAAUCAUGCGUUAUGUUUUCUAGCUGCAUCACUUUAUUUGCUUCUAUCUUAGUAGUGGGAACUAGAUUCCCUGUCUUGGCAGCAACUUCUAUUUUUCUUCUUUGUUUCAACCAUGUAGUUCUAUGGUUGUGACCUUCGAAAAAUAAGAUAAAGAAACAAAAUGACAUACUUCCUUGCGUUAGCAUUGUAAUAUCUUGCAUAUGCAGUCAUGUAGACUCCACAUAUAGUGCAGGUAUUCACUUUUUUUGUUAAAGCAAUUCAAAAUUGGACAUUGUAUUACACUCCCUCCUUUUUUUAAAAGAACUUGAGAUCUGUAGGUUCGAUUGGAUCUGUAAUUGGCUGUAAUGUAGGCAAUAUGAAAUGGCGAAUUAGUAACUAAUUUAAAUUCACAAACUAAGGAAACCAUAAUAAGUAUGUUUAUCACUAUUCUUUUUAGAGUAAAAUAAAAAAAAGGUCUUUGAAGUUAUUCUGUAUGAUGUUGUCUGAUCCUCAAACUCUCAAAAUGCUUGCAUUGUGAGGUUAUAGAAAUUGUCCUUGUAUGGAAUGUAAGUCCCAAGCCCUUAUAAUGCUACUUUCAUCCACAGGACUUGUCACGUGUUGUCAUCUAGUCUUGUUCUUAAUGAGCCCUAACACACUAUACACCCUCAUGUGGCAUGUCACAAUUGAUCCAUUUGUGGUUCAGUAUUGAUGAGUAGUCUAACACGAGGUUAUGUAUAUCACACAUAUUGGGCUGUUGCACUAUAUCCGAGCGAAGAGAGAGAGAGGGGGAACUCGGGAUGGUGGUCCAAAGGCCAACAUAUAUGUGUGGUGCCCAUAGAUAGAAUCGACUAGUACAGAUAUUAUGAGACAUAUAGGUAGCAUUUGGUUAGGAGAUAAGGUGGGAUGGAAGAAUGAUCUUGUCUCUGGUUGGAGGGAUGCAGUGACCCUAUUUUCUUUUUGGUUGGAAAGCGAUGGGACCAAUUUGUUUUCUAUUUGGUCUUAGAUAUAAUAACUCAAAUCAUGUGGGUCCCAUUUGGCAGUUUUAAUUCUCUUUUUCUUCCUCCUCUCCUUACCUUGUUCACGAACUGUAGCCACCCAAAGGACUCGCAAGUGCGACACCCUCUGCCUCCUCCCGUUGAGUCGGCCAUGGCUUAUGCCACCUGCUUCAUGUGUAGCCACCCAAAGGACUCGCGCACGGUGGCUCCUAAAAGGUUGCACGACGGCAGCCUCUGAGCUCACGCGUGGAGGCUCCUCUUAUCUCGGCACAGUGGUGCCCCCCCAAGGUCAUGCAAGGCGGCAAUCUCCCGAGCUCGCGCGAUGGUGGCCCCCUGUGCUCCUCGUCUUCAUUGACCUCCCGUAUGUGCA